ACCUUCUCAUUGACAUUGUUCAUUUGUGAGAAUUGCGGUUUUGUUAGGGGAUUGCGUGUAAAAAAAAAAUGUGUCAAAUGUUGCUCUAAUUCUCUUGUGUUGUCUGUUCUGUCCAGCUAUGACCAAACCAUCUGCCCCUGUGGUCUCCCUGGUGUCUGUCCAAGACCAAAGUGGAAUCCUGAAAACCCCAGCCCAGUUAGGGAGGGAGGUCCUAGGCUCCUGAGACUCUACCUGUCCCCCUGGCCCUUCUCCACACCUCCACUCACCACACAACCUCACUGUAUCCAAUACACACACAACCAAGUGCUCCCAAGGCCCAAUCCAGCCCAACACACAAACAUCACACCCUCUGCCUUCCACCCAUAUACCACAACGUACACAUAAGCCUCCCAUCACUACUAAACACACAUUUCAGGAUACACUCAACUCCUCUAUCCCUAGUGUGCAAAUUCUCCAACAAAUGAACAACCCUGUGCAAUUGAACAUUUUGCAGGACCAAUCUCAGUCACCCAGUUCAAACAGUUCUCCUAAUCUCCACACUCCAUGCCGUCUCAGCGGUUCAAGCAGUCCAGACGGUCCAAACGGUCUGUUAAAGCAUGUUGGACCCCCAGCCAUCCUCUCCUUCUCUACUCAGGAAGCACUGGAGCAUGCCCAGUGGUGUGUUGUCCAGACCCAUUGGGAGCAGUUGAAGCAGAUAGUCUCUGUGUCGUAGAGAGGGGACAUUGCUGUGCCAACAGCCUGACAUGGACUGUAGGGAGUACGUUCAGAAACUGGAGGAGAUCAUGGAGCAAAAGGCUGUGUGCGUUCAGAGUCUGAGAGCUCUGCUACAGCCCUACCUCACCCAACUGAAAAAUCCUUGUUGAAAACUAUUAGUCAUUUUGAAUUCAUGGAGUGAAUUUCAAUUCAGUUCUGUUUCUGAAUUGAAAACUGAAUUGACCCCAAACCUGCCUGACGUACCUUAAAUUACACCAGGCAAAUCAUUUGUGUGAGUGUGGAGUGAGCUGUAUUUUUUUUAACAGUAGCCUACAGGAACAAACACUUAUAGUCAGUACCUUCAUGAUUAAGGCACUGUACUACUGUAUCACAAAUAAUGAGAUUCCCAUAGAGAAUGAUAGAGUCCUCUAGUGGCCAAAAGGCCAUAUUAGCAUGGACAGCACCAUUGAGGGCUUCCACCAUUAUAAUGUAGUCAACUGGGUUGGACUUUCAACUUCAUUGUCUAAUGCCUCCUGGUGACCCUGUUGGAGUCAUGUCCAACUAGGUAAUCAGGAGGGAUCAGCCAAUUGUGUACAUCAAAAUGGAGAUAGCCUCAAUGGUGCUGCCCAUGCUGUCACAGAUAGUGGCACAGAUACAAAGAUGUCCUCUAUCUCUAUGGAGAUUCCCAACCUCUGUCAUUUCAAGAAUUUUGCUACAAGUAACUUAUCAUAAAAAGUUAUGGAAUCAUUAUAAUGUUGUCUAAUGUUGUACUUUGGUAGUUUGGGUAGUCUGUCCACGAGAGAUUAAAUACACAUGGAAGAAAAAUCACUUUUUUAUGUGGUAGGCCUAUCCUCUGUGGUUGGCCUUUGAAAUGCAUACGCAAAGAAGAUGUCUGCCAGUUCUUCAUCUGUCUUGCCAACAGAUGGAGGUGCUGUGUGUGAAAAUCCUUGUUUUCAGAGUAGAAAAUGUAUUGCGCAAUUCACUCAAAAAGAAAAGUCACAUGCUUUGUAAAACAACCGGUGUAGACUAAAAAUGAAAUGUUUACUUACGUGUCCUUUUCCAACAAUGCAGAGUUAAGUUAUUAUAACAUUAUAUCAAAUAUUGAUAUGACAU
Long non-coding RNA from Salmo trutta (river trout), 1806 nucleotides. Lineage: Eukaryota; Metazoa; Chordata; Actinopteri; Salmoniformes; Salmonidae. The record is from Ensembl.